UAUUGAUUAACGCUUAAUCUGAAUAGAGCGGGGGAACCAAUAUAUGGGGUGAAUCCCACAAUGCGUGGGUAGGGUUACUCUUUCAAUCCGAAUCCGUCAGCUAACCUCGUAAGCGUUGAAAGGGGAUGA
This 129-nucleotide small RNA is filed under the name Desulfofarcimen acetoxidans. RNAcentral describes it as "Desulfotomaculum acetoxidans c-di-AMP sequence". It matches the Rfam family "c-di-AMP riboswitch aptamer (ydaO/yuaA leader)". Rfam says of the family: This family represents a conserved RNA structure found upstream of the ydaO and yuaA genes in Bacillus subtilis and related genes in other bacteria. Lineage: Bacteria; Bacillati; Bacillota; Clostridia; Eubacteriales; Peptococcaceae. The record is from RNAcentral.